Small nuclear RNA from Monodon monoceros (narwhal), 108 nucleotides. Its record names the gene U5. It matches the Rfam family "U5 spliceosomal RNA". Rfam says of the family: U5 RNA is a component of both types of known spliceosome. The precise function of this molecule is unknown, though it is known that the 5' loop is required for splice site selection and p220 binding, and that both the 3' stem-loop and the Sm site are important for Sm protein binding and cap methylation. NCBI's taxonomy places the organism in Eukaryota, Metazoa, Chordata, Mammalia, Artiodactyla, Monodontidae. The record is from Ensembl.
AUACUCUAGUUUCUCUUCAGAUUGUAUAAAUCUUUUACCUUUUACUAAAGAUUUCUGUGGAAAAGAACAGUUAUGAGGGUUUUUUUCAAGGGUUUAAAAAAAAACACG